RNAcentral lists this ribosomal RNA (35 nucleotides) under Geotrichum candidum. RNAcentral describes it as "partial 28S ribosomal RNA". Lineage: Eukaryota; Fungi; Ascomycota; Dipodascomycetes; Dipodascales; Dipodascaceae. The record is from RNAcentral.
CCCGCUGAACUUAACCAUAUCAAUAACCGAAGAAA